CAGAAACAGAGGGCUCUAAGGACAAACUUGGAGCCAAGCACAGCCAGGGAGACAGCACUCUGAACUUGACUGCUGAGGAGAUCAAACUGCUGAGGAGGAUAAAGGAAGAGUAUGAGAGACGAGGAGGUUUCAUCAGAAUCUUCCCUACUCCAGAGACCUGGGAGCUCUAUGGUGGAUAUCUGGAGUCCAAGACAUCAAUGAACUACAUGUUGGCGAACAGACUUUUCCAUGGAAGGAAUCUGAAUGGGAAUGUGCAGCUGCAGGUGGAUGCUUUCCAUGGCUGUCACAUCCUCCGUUAUGAGAGGAAGUUGCUGUCUCUGGAGGCACGUAAAAAGAGACAGCGCCACCUGGCUCAGCGCUCCUCUGCUGGGAAGAAGAAGUCGGGGACGGAAUCCAAGGCCUCUCUCUCUGAAAGCAGUUCUCAGGAUGUUGAGGGAGAGCAGUGUGUCCAGGAGGAAAGAGAGGAGAAUCACGCUCUGGUAAUGGUGCAGGCACAACCGAUGGCCAUCCCACUGCGGUGUUUCCACAGUGAAGUCCUGUCCACCUCAACAGCAACCAAGUCUACUGCCAAGCCUAAAAUCAACCUGCUCCUCAUCCUCCAGCAGGGCUGGGAUCUCAGUAAAGUGCAGGCCCGGAUGGCCUUUUCCUCCUACCUGCAGCGGGUCCAACUAAGACUCUUGGCAGAGAGUAAGGCUAACAUCACCCCAGCCUGGCCAGAGAAAGACAACGACCAAAUGGUACAAUGAUAACCAUCUGUGUUGUUGCUGAAAUACCGUUUUUUGGGCACAUACCUUGUAGAAUUGUUUUAUGUUUAUAUGCACAUUGAUUUU
Molecule: long non-coding RNA, 830 nt
Filed under: Myripristis murdjan (pinecone soldierfish)
Lineage: Eukaryota; Metazoa; Chordata; Actinopteri; Holocentriformes; Holocentridae
Description: lncRNA (ENSMMDG00005011066.1)
Source: RNAcentral